AGUGGUUAAGGCAGUGGGUUGUGAUUCCACCAUUCGCCGGUUCAAGUCCGGUCACU
Molecule: transfer RNA, 56 nt
Filed under: Thalassiosira antarctica
Lineage: Eukaryota; Bacillariophyta; Thalassiosirophyceae; Thalassiosirales; Thalassiosiraceae
Description: partial tRNA
Source: RNAcentral